ACGUAUGGUGCAAGCGUUAUCCGGAUUUACUGGGUGUAAAGGGAGCGUAGGUGGCUGCGCAAGUCAGAAGUGAAAGCCCGGGGCUUAACCUCGGGACUGCUUUUGAAACUGUGUAGCUAGAGUGCAGGAGAGGUAAGUGGAAUUCCUAGUGUAGCGGUGAAAUGCGUAGAUAUUAGGAGGAACACCGGUGGCGAAGGCGGCUUACUGGACUGUAACUGACACUGAGGCUCGAAAGCGUGGGGAGCAAACAG
Molecule: ribosomal RNA, 251 nt
Filed under: uncultured bacterium
Lineage: Bacteria
Description: partial 16S ribosomal RNA
Rfam family: Bacterial small subunit ribosomal RNA
Source: RNAcentral